This 6718-nucleotide long non-coding RNA is filed under the name Homo sapiens (human). RNAcentral's name for it is "HSALNT0046700". The stretch from base 4346 to 4425 matches the Rfam family "mir-4776 microRNA precursor family". The record is from RNAcentral. Lineage: Eukaryota; Metazoa; Chordata; Mammalia; Primates; Hominidae.
GAAGAUUUGAAUUAGUCAUUUCUAGGUUUUUUUAUUACAUCAUAUUUUUAUAUACAGUCAAAUGUGCUGUAAUGCCCACACAUUAAUGACAUAAUUUUAAAAAAUUAAUGAGGAUGAAAUAUGCCUAUAACCCUCUCAGGAAAUCUACAUUUCACUAUGUCUUCAGGAUUCACUUCCUUUACAAAGUCUUCCCAGAUAAGACACUCAUCCAAUGAGAAAGGUCUUUCUUUACCUUCCAUGAAGUCUUUGUCAUUUACACAGUCUGAGGUCUGUUUCCUGUAUUGCUUUACUCUUGUCUUGGGGUUUUCUUUGUUUGUUUGUUUCCUAAUUUCCCAAUUAUAUUUCUUGUUUUCUAAAGUUAGAAGCUUGCUUUUCAAAGAUUCCAUGGCUUCUAGGAUGGCACUGGACCCAUAGAUGACUCUUCCAAAAUAUUAUUGAUUUAAUGAAUAUUGCAUAAGAAGAUGCAUUCUAGAACAAAUUAGCAAGUAAGAAUGCAGGUCUGUCAUUUACUGGGAUGUAGGCAAUCAGUUCCUGACUUUGUAGGCCAUUACGAGGUUUAGAACUCAACUAUGUUCUUUUAACCCGUAUAAUAAAUGACAAAUUUUAAAUUAGGAAAGCAAAGUGAAUUUUUCUUUUGAAAAAAAAAAAAACAAAAACAAAAUUACCUUCCUUUGGAAAUCAUUAUGAAAAGUUGUGUCUGUAAAGUAUGUUACCUUUAAAGACAAAGAAAAAAUACAACCAAAUAAUAUGUUACUAGAUCAUCAAUGGGUUUUUACCUGUUCACUAAGUAAAUUUUAAAAGAAUGAAUGAAUAACUUUGAAUGAUUCACAGCAAAUUUCUUGCUCAAUAUUAUGAAAAUAUUUUGUUUAAAAAUGCAGUUGAUAAGAAUGUAUUUCUUUUGAGAAACUCCAAUGUAUUAAAAACAUGAAGUUAAGAUAGAACUUUCAGUACCUUUAGAGAUUGCGAUAUUAAGAUUUUGUGCUUCAUCAAAUGCUGUGAAUCAUCAAUGUCGUUUGCUGAUUGGUAUUUCUGGCUCACAAUUCCUCUGGUUCACAGCAAUUGCUCUUGAAAAAAUAAGAAGUCUUUUAAUUUUAGAUAACACCAAAAAGAGAAGGUUUCAGUUUUAAGAAGUCCCAUUGGGAUGAUAGAAAGCAUUGUAUGGAGAACUGAAAAUGGUCAACCCCUUGAAAAUGAUCAGUAUUCUGUGGUUUUGGACCUUAGUUGAAAAUGACAUAAUCAUAUUUUCCUGGUCUUAUAAUGCUCCCUUACCUGAGCAAACUUGCAAGGAUAGGAGAGGAAGUCAAUGCCCCCACUUUGACCCUUAUUCAAACCUCAAGGUUUCAGGAAUUCCCAAAGAUUUAGAGUAGAAGUACACUGUGCCCUGCACACAGUAGGUACUUCAACGUUUAUGUCACACUUUAAUCAUCAAGCACAAUCACAGGACUCCAACUAAUGCUUCCCUCAGUGCAGCCCAAGGCACAUUCAGCAAUCUCACUCAGAACAACCAGGAGAGAUACUUAACACAAUGUAUGCCCUUAGGAAAAAAAAGUAGAAUAGCAUUAUCAAAGGCUCUGAUUUCUAGAUACAGGUGUGCUCUGACUUUUUCAUGCUUUCCUUUUUCUCUCUGAAAUAUGGGAAUAAUACCCCCUGUCACUGAGCCACUGGAAUGUUGAGGAGACAAUGAGUUAGCAUUGGAAAACAAUUCAGGGUGAAAGGUGCGGAUGUGAGCUCAAGGUAUUUGUUAAUGUUAUUACUCAAUCCAUUCUGGCCCAGUGUGGAAACAAAAGCAACUUUUAUUACAAAUAACACAACAUUGUUAAAAUAACCUUAGGAAAGAGAGAAUAAAUGAAUCUACCAAGAUAAAUAGAUAGCAGCUGGGUUAUUGAGACCUCAUGUUGAGGUUACAGGCUUUUAACACUAAAUGCAAUGUUCUUUUAAUUUUCAAGUAAGAAUCAUUUGGUGAAAAAAGUAGGUAACCUAUUAGUGCCUGUCUAUAAAAGAGUGAGGACUUAGAUUUCUAAAUGCAUACUAACAAGUAUAUUUAUAAAGACAGAUUUUAUUACCUGAUUGUAUAAAGCAGAAGUCUCCUUUAACAGAUUAAAAGAAGAGGUGGGUGGAAUAUGCUAACAAACAAAGGUCCAUGUGUGAAUCGGGGGAUAUUCAGGACUUAACUAGACUUCAGCAGACUCAUUUAGGAUCUUAAACACUGUCCCAAGUCCAAAAUUCACAUUUAAGCUGAGAGCAGCUAGGACUUUACUAUCUAUCUAUGGUUUAAGUUGUCUUCCACUCGGCUUGUAAAGCCUAGAGUGUCACUGUUUCUGCCCACAGAUAGCUGUCAAUCUUGGCCCAUAAGGAGAUGGAACCAUAGGAAAUGUUUCAUCUCCACUCCCAGCACUUCUUUCCAUAUAAAAAGAUUUCCACUAGCACAGCAGUCCUGACAUCUCUGUUCUCAGGAGAAGAGGGAAUCAUUUAAUGUUAUUGAGUCCCUUUACCUCCUCAUUCUCUUGAGAGCUAUGUGCAUAGAGAAAGCAUACUUUCUGCUCUGCUAUUUCAGACCCUACAUUUUAGAGUACAUUGUCUAAUGUUGGAAAUAAGGUAGGUAAGUCUCUCUAAAUCUGAGAUUCAGUGAUAGUAAGGCGAUCCUCCAAAAUCAACUUUAACAAUGAUAAAAUUGAUAAUUUCCUCUCUAUCUAUCUUACUCUGUUUUUCAAUGACUCAGACUCAGCUGGAGAAGAGAGAUGUUCCCUCUCUUGAGCUCACUAAAGACAUUCAACAACAUGUAAUACAAUGGGUGGGACAUUUGUCUUUUCCAGGCCAAGGAAAAGGAAAACAAACUUAGGUCCCCAAAGACUUAGGAUAAAAUAUCACAGAUAUAAACUUAGCAAAGUUGAACUCAGCUGUUAGAAAAUGGAAUUGGAUUAGUUUCCUGUGGCUGCUAUAACAAAUCACCACAAACUCAAUGGCUUAAAACCACAUAAACUUAUCCUCUCACAGUUCUAGGGGACAAAACUCCAAAAUCAGUUUCACUAGGCCUACAUCCAGGAGUUAGCCAGGCCAUGCUCCCUCUGGGAACUCUAAGAGAGAAUCUGGCCUUUCCUCUUCCUGCUCAUGGGACUGCCAGCACUUCUUGGCUUGUGGCUGCAUCACUCCCAUCUGCCUCCCUGAUCACAUUGCCUUCUCCUCGUUGUCAGCUCUCCCUCUGCCUCUCUCUCAUAAGGAUAUACGUGACUGCAUCUAGGGCCCAUUCUAAUAAGCUGUGAUAACCUCUUCAUCACAAUAUCCUUAACUUAAUCAUACCUAUAAAGACCUUAAAUUUUUAAUGUUUUAAUUGUUUUUAAUUUAAAAAUGUCUUUUCUUAGGUUCCUACAGACAGAAACCUUUUUUCUGUAUCAGGUAGUAUUUACAGAUUCUAAGGAUUAGGACCUGACGUCCUCGGGGGACUAUUUUUCCACAUGAGUUCAAUAGUCUUGAAUAAAUAUCAUUUAUAUCUCUUUUCUUCUUUUCUCUAUGUUCUGAAAUUUUACAAUUUAAGAUGCAAAAAUAUGUGGUCUAAUAUCAUAGUUUUAGAGAAUUAAGAAGGUAAAUUCAUCCUAGAGUUUGGAUCAAACAAAUAAUAUUUAGAAGGAAUAUAUCAUAAGGUGAUAACUUUGUAUGUCGGUAUAUAUGUAAGUGUGGGUGUGUGUAAAUCAUUAAAUUUCCAUAUAUAUACCAUAUAAUUUUCUACCUGAAAUGUUGUGAGUUAAAUCAAAAAAUGUAAAUUAUUCCUACAUAUCAUUAAUAUUAUAAAUUCAGGACCAUAGUUAUUUAUAUAUUUAUUUUUAAAAUUCUGGUUGAAGCAUUUGGUGAAACAGUUCCAGAAUUGAGUUUUUUAUUCUUUCUAUAUGUGGAGCAUAUGGUAAAAUUAUUCCUAUUUCUAAUAUGAGUUUGGUAUUUUAUUGUUAAACUCUAGAAAACAACCACCUUUUAGCCAAGAACCUUUGCCCUCUAAGACACACUCAAUUGUAUUUUACUUUUGCUACCAACAUUUAGGGGUUAGUUUACUUUGUGUUAUCAUAUUCCACCAAUAUUCAAAAGAUUUAUCACUUGGCAAGAGUUACUGAUGACACUCCAUGAGUAGGAAACCUCAAAUCUUGGUGAAGGGCAGGCACUGAGCUUCUGCUAAGCACUCUCACUAGCUAAGAAACUUGUGCUACAUACUACAUGUGCCCUGUUUCAGUUAGGACAGGCUAUGAUAUCGUAACAAAUAGACCGCCAAAUUCAGCUUCUCAUGUUUGAGGGAAAAACACAUCUAUCUCUCUUUUGGACAACAGUCCAGGAUGAGGGUUCCAGGUCAGUGGGAGCUCGGCUAUAUGCAGUGGACCAGGAUGGCAAGGGCUCUCCUGAAAGGACAGUAGAGCCCUUGCCAUCCUGGUCCACUGCAUAUAGUCUGCUCCAUCUCAGGAAGCCAGAAGGUAGAAGGGGAUGCAAAAACACAGCAGUGCAAGAGCUCUAGUAUGUGGCCACACAGAAUUGCAAUGGAGACUGGGAAGUAUAGUCUAGCUGUGUGCUCAGGAAGAAGAGGAGAAGGGAUUUUGGUAAACAGCUGGCAGUCUUUGCUGCAUGCAUUAUUUCUGCCUCAGCAAAAUAAAAGUUGACUAUGUAAAACAGAGGUCAUGUGUGUAGAGGUCAUUGUGUAUACCCUUGGGAUAUACACAAGCAUUCAAACCAAUGAAUAGUGAGAAUUUAUUCUACCCAAGCAACUAUUUAUGCCGAAUAUUCAGAAGGGGAGGGGAGCAGGAAAGAAAUGGUUUAUUUUCUUUAAAUUAUUGAAAAUAUUAGCUUAUAUCAAUUUUCUCAAGUGAUGAAAAUGCAGGGGUUAAGCCUUUAUUUUUUUUUUAAAGUAAAUAUUAGUAUUAUGUAGUAUAUGUUAAGAAGGUUUUUUUCUCUUCAUUUCUUAAUCUAUUGAGGGAAGGACUAGGCAAAUGAAGUUAGGCUUCUUUUCUCAGGGGGCCUAACUGUUGGCCCAGGCUGGGUUCCAAGAACUAAUACAAGGAAUGGUAACUGGUGGGGUUGUCUUUUUGCUGAAUGAAGAGAAGAAAAGAAGAAUUCCAAGUCUGUUUCCCAGGCACAGGAAGGACCAGGAAGCAAGGAAACUUCCAAUUUUCAAGUCCACUGAGCAGAAUACAAGAACAGGGUCCAAAACAAAGAGUUCUCCGUUGAGAACCGGCAAGAUGGAGCAAGCAAGUCCUGCAGGCAGGCUGGGCCUGGAGAGGCGCCAAGAGGCCACAGCACUCUUGGGAGGAGGUUUUUCUGGACUCUUGAGGAGCUGAGACUUUUAUAUUCCAACCCUGCCUUUAAUUUGAGGUUUGCCUCCUCCCUCCAUUUGCAGAAGAGUAAUCCGAAGCUAAAUCAUUCAUAACAUGAGAAUGCUGAUCUGUGUCCAGCCCUUGUGAAGGGAAAAGAAAACAAAACUUCACAAACAUAAUUAGUAGAACUACCUAUAAAACCUAAUGUUAAAAGAGAAAUUAGCUUUCAUGGAGAGAAAGUGUGAUGGCAUGACACAGAAAUUAAGUGCACUGAAUUUAGAUUUGAAAAGAGUUUGAUUCAAUUCAUGUCCCUGCUUCCCAGUAGUCCGUGACCUUGGGCAAGUGACCUAUACUCUCUAAAUCUUAGUUUCCUUAUCUGUAAGAUGGGAGAUGAAAAUAAUACCUAAUUCAUAUUUUUUAAGAACUUAAUGAAAGAAUGUUCAAAUGUAUCUAAUAAGGUAUAGGAACUCAACACAUGCCAGUUAAACAAAUUUCUAAUAAUUGACUUUCUUAUUUCUUCCUUUCUGGGUAAAACAACUGUCCUUUGUAUACUUUCAUUUUUUGGAGACAGAGUCUCACUCUGUCUUUUUUUGGAGACAGAGACUCACUCUGUCAUCCAGGCUGAAGUGCAGUGGUACGAUCUCGGCUCACUACAACCUCUGCCUCCCAGUUUAAACAAUUCUCCUGCCUCAGCCUCUCGAGUAGCUGGACUAGGACUACAGGCGGGAGCCAUCAUGCCUGGCUGGUUUUUUUUGUAUCUAAGUAGAAAUGGGGUUUCACCAUGCUGCCCAGGCUGGUCUUGAACUCCUGAGCUCAGGCAAUCCACCUGCUUCAGCCUCUCAAAGUGCUAGGAUUACAGGCGUGAGCCACUGCACCCGGCCUGCCCCUUGUAUACAUAAAAAACAAUCAAUCAAAUCUUCCUCCAUGACCCCUUAAGCACUAUUGAGUAAAGGUGGGAUCUUAAGUUGUGACAACUGAUAUAUGUAAAAUGUCAAUUUAAGAACAUCUCCUUUCAGACAUGAGUAUUUCCCUGCAAACUUAGGUUUAUGUCUAAGAUCUUAAGGAAAUAAAUACUAUAAAAAGACAUAGUUCAAAUAAUGUAUUAAUAGAAAAAAGGUCCAUAGGAAUAUCUCAGUGUUUUCUUUUAUAUGAGAUGUAUCAUAUGCUAAGAAUAUACAAUUCUCUAGAAUUUAUUAUUUUUCAAAGUAUUCUUUGAGAGGCCAUCUCUCCUGUUAUUACUUUGUCCAGGUAAGUGGGAAUUUCAUUCGUGAGGACUCCAAGUCCUAUCUAUGGAGUCCAUUAUCACUGGGCAUGCCAGUACAUCUUCUGGCAAACUGUGACAACAGUCUUCAUUGGCAACCGAGAGAACAAAAGAGGAUUUUUCUAAAGGUGAUGAGGCAGAAAAGGGAAGCAGAUGGCCCUGAGGAACACGG